GCCGGGUGUGGUGGUGCAUGCCUGUAAUUCCAACUACUCGGGAGGCUGAGGCAGGAGAAUUACUUGAACCUGGGAGGCGGAGGUUGCAGUGAGCCGAGAUCAUGCCACUGCAAUCCAGCCUGGGUUACAGAGCGAGACUCUGCCUCAA
Molecule: unclassified non-coding RNA, 148 nt
Organism: Papio anubis (olive baboon)
Lineage: Eukaryota; Metazoa; Chordata; Mammalia; Primates; Cercopithecidae
Rfam family: Metazoan signal recognition particle RNA
About the family: The signal recognition particle (SRP) is a universally conserved ribonucleoprotein. It is involved in the co-translational targeting of proteins to membranes.
Source: Ensembl